Molecule: transfer RNA, 74 nt
Filed under: Actinoplanes italicus
Lineage: Bacteria; Bacillati; Actinomycetota; Actinomycetes; Micromonosporales; Micromonosporaceae
Description: tRNA-Ala
Source: RNAcentral
CCGGCGUUGCCGCGGUUCGUACGGGUGGGUCUGGCGCAGCCGCUGGAUGACGUGCGGUUCCCCGCCGUCGUGCC